UGGGGAAUAUUGCACAAUGGGCGCAAGCCUGAUGCAGCCAUGCCGCGUGUGUGAAGAAGGCCUUCGGGUUGUAAAGCACUUUCAGCGGGGAGGAAGGCGAUAAGGUUAAUAACCUUGUCGAUUGACGUUACCCGCAGAAGAAGCACCGGCUAACUCCGUGCCAGCAGCCGCGGUAAUACGGAGGGUGCAAGCGUUAAUCGGAAUUACUGGGCGUAAAGCGCACGCAGGCGGUUGAUUGAGUCAGAUGUGAAAUCCCCGGGCUUAACCCGGGAAUUGCAUCUGAUUCUGGUCAGCUAGAGUCUUGUAGAGGGGGGUAGAAUUCCAUGUGUAGCGGUGAAAUGCGUAGAGAUGUGGAGGAAUACCGGUGGCGAAGGCGGCCCCCUGGACAAAGACUGACGCUCAGGUGCGAAAGCGUGGGGAGCAAACAGG
This 429-nucleotide ribosomal RNA is filed under the name Chloroflexota bacterium. RNAcentral's name for it is "Chloroflexi bacterium partial 16S ribosomal RNA". It matches the Rfam family "Bacterial small subunit ribosomal RNA", at positions 355 to 776 of the family's 1533-position model. Lineage: Bacteria; Bacillati; Chloroflexota. The record is from RNAcentral.